AAAUGAAUAGACGGGGGCUCACACAAGCGGUGGAGGAUGUGGUUUAAUUCGAAGCAACGCGCAGAACCUUACCAGGUCUUGACAUGCUGGGAUUAAGUGAAUGAAAGUUUACGGAUUGCCCGCAAGGGUGUAACCAGCACAGGUGCUGCAUGGCUGUCGUCAGCUCGUGCCGUGAGGUGUCAGGUUAAGUCCUUUAACGAGCGAAACCCCUACGUCGAGUUGCCAGCGGGUAAAGCCGGGAACUCUCGACGGACUGCCGCGCAAGCUGGAGGAGGGAGGGGACGACGUCAAGUCAUCAUGGCCUUUAUGACCUGGGCCACACACGUCCUACAAUGGGUGGUACAACGGGAAGCAAUGCCGCAAGGCGGAGCCAAUCCUCGAAAGCCACCCUCAGUUCGGAUUGUGGGCUGCAAUUCGCCCACAUGAAGCUGGAAUCGCUAGUAAUCGCGGAUCAGCCACGCCGCGGUGAAUAUGUUCCUGAGCCUUGUACACACCGCCCGU
This 501-nucleotide ribosomal RNA is filed under the name uncultured bacterium. RNAcentral describes it as "bacterial SSU rRNA". It matches the Rfam family "Bacterial small subunit ribosomal RNA", at positions 903 to 1397 of the family's 1533-position model. The record is from RNAcentral.